Molecule: ribosomal RNA, 465 nt
Filed under: uncultured bacterium
Lineage: Bacteria
Description: partial 16S ribosomal RNA
Rfam family: Bacterial small subunit ribosomal RNA
Source: RNAcentral
GACGAACGCUGGCGGCGUGCUUAACACAUGCAAGUCGAACGGAAAGGCCCCUUUGGUUGUACUCUUGUUGCGGACUGGUGGAUAACACGUUAGUAACCUGCCCUUUACUUCGGGGUAACUUCUGGCAACUGGGACUAAUACCGGAUACGACUCCUUGCUGCAUGGCGGAGGUUGGAAAGCUUCGGCGGUUUUGGCUGGACUCGCGGCUUAUCAGCUUUUUGGUGGGGUAGUGGUUUACCCAGGCUUUGACGGGUAGCCGGCCUGAGAGGGCGACAGUCCACAUUGGGACUGAGAUAAGGCCCAGACUGCUAAGGGAGGCAGCAGUGGGGAAUAUUGCACAAGGGGCGGAAGCCUGAUGCAGAAAGGCCGCGGGCGGGAUGACGGCCUUCGGGGUGUAAACCGCUGUAAGCAGGGGAGAAGCGUGUGGUGACGGUACCUGCAGAAGAAGCACCGGCUAACUACGUG